UUUUUAUCUCUCUCUACUCAUUUUUAACUCUUACAGUCUCUCUCUCUCUCUCUCUCUCUGACCAAGAGCUAAGGGAAAUCUUGUCGUUUUCCCUCUGGUGAGGGAGAACGAAGGAGACCCUGUCGUUUUCCCCUCAACUCUAUCUAUCCCUCUACUCUGACCAAGAAUGAGAGCUAAGGAAACCCUGUUGUUUUGCCCUCAAUUUUGUAUCUCCUUCUACUCUAACCGAGAACGAGAGGUAAGGAAACCCUAUUGUUUUGCCCUCUGGUGAAGGAAAGCGAAGGAGACCCUGCUGUUUUCCCCUCAGACAGUAUGGAUUUCUGCUCCUAUAGUGCUCUUUUACCUUCCUUCUUCUACAAGAUGGAUUUGUGUACAUUCGGUGCUCAACCAUGUUACCUCGAAACUCUUCCACCCUACCCCGUUCUCUCUUCUCCUCCUACACUUCUUGUAGUUCAUACCAGCUGAGUUGAUAGUGUUGUCUGCUUCGUUAGAUUACCGGCGACCGUUUAGGAGAUUGCAUCGAUAAGCAAUCAAUCUCCGUUUUUCCCUCAACUCUAUAUAUCCUUCUACUCUAACCGAGAAGGAGAGGUAAGGAAACCCUAUUAUUUUGCCCUCCGGUUAAGGAGAGCGAAAGAGACCCUACUGUUUUCCCCUCGGACAGUAUGUACUUUUGCUCCUAUAGGCUCUUUUCUCUUGUCCGAUCUUUGCAACCCUCUUUUGCCCCCUACCUCUUCUUCUCGGUCCCAAAGUCCCAAACCCUACCUUCCUUCUUCUACAAGAUGGAUUUGUCUUCAUUCGGUGCUCAACCGUGUUACCCCGAAACUCUAUCACCCUACCCCCUUCUCUCUUCUUCUCCUACACUUCUUGUAGUUCAUACCAGCUGAGCUGAUAGUGUUGUCUGCUUUGUCGAAUUACCGGCGACCGUUUAGGAGAUUACAUCGAUGCACAAAGUUGAACAUGAACAUCAUAUAUUACUUAAAUUUAGUCAUAAGCCCUCUAUGUAUUUGUGAACAAGCAACAUUUUUAGCCUUCUUUUUUGUUAAUUUAAAAUCUUUUUUCUUACUAUUUGCUCAGUCUUUUUUCUUUUUUAUUUAAAGUAGUUAGGUUUUAAUUUCUAAUUCAUCAUUUUUCCAUUUCUUGAACUCAAUGUAUAGAGAAUUUACUUGGAGGAAACAAGUGAAACUCAAAGUAUUGACAAAUUUAUGCUACAUCACAUUUGAAGAUUGUAUUGGUACAAGUUUUAUUUCCUACCUUCCAGUUUAUUCAAUAAAAGUCAGGAAUUGCAAUUA
Long non-coding RNA from Nelumbo nucifera (sacred lotus), 1289 nucleotides. RefSeq lists it as uncharacterized. The record is from RefSeq and is a predicted model, not a curated record. NCBI's taxonomy places the organism in Eukaryota, Viridiplantae, Streptophyta, Magnoliopsida, Proteales, Nelumbonaceae.